RNAcentral lists this ribosomal RNA (497 nucleotides) under uncultured bacterium. RNAcentral's name for it is "partial 16S ribosomal RNA". It matches the Rfam family "Bacterial small subunit ribosomal RNA", at positions 28 to 507 of the family's 1533-position model. The record is from RNAcentral.
GAUGAACACUGGCGGCGUGCCUAAUACAUGCAAGUCGAGCGAACAGAUAAGGAGCUUGCUCCUUUGACGUUAGCGGCGGACGGGUGAGUAACACGUGGGUAACCUACCUAUAAGACUGGGAUAACUUCGGGAAACCGGAGCUAAUACCGGAUAACAUUUGGAACCGCAUGGUUCUAAAGUGAAAGAUGGUUUUGCUAUCACUUAUAGAUGGACCCGCGCCGUAUUAGCUAGUUGGUAAGGUAACGGCUUACCAAGGCAACGAUACGUAGCCGACCUGAGAGGGUGAUCGGCCACACUGGAACUGAGACACGGUCCAGACUCCUACGGGAGGCAGCAGUAGGGAAUCUUCCGCAAUGGGCGAAAGCCUGACGGAGCAACGCCGCGUGAGUGAUGAAGGGUUUCGGCUCGUAAAACUCUGUUAUUAGGGAAGAACAAAUGUGUAAGUAACUGUGCACGUCUUGACGGUACCUAAUCAGAAAGCCACGGCUAACUACGUG